This 253-nucleotide ribosomal RNA is filed under the name uncultured bacterium. RNAcentral's name for it is "partial 16S ribosomal RNA". It matches the Rfam family "Bacterial small subunit ribosomal RNA", at positions 524 to 776 of the family's 1533-position model. The record is from RNAcentral.
UACGUAGGGGGCAAGCGUUGUCCGGAAUCAUUGGGCGUAAAGAGCGUGUAGGCGGCUCGGUAAGUCCGCUGUGAAAGUCCAGGGCUCAACCCUGGAAUGCCGGUGGAAACUGUCGAGCUAGAGUCCGGAAGAGGCGAGUGGAAUUCCUGGUGUAGCAGUGAAAUGCGUAGAGAUCAUGAGGAAGACCAGUGGCGAAGGCGGGUCUCUGGACAGUUCCUGACACUGAGGCACGAAGGCCAGGGGAGCAAACGGG